CUUGCAGCACAAGCUGCAAGCACCCUUGUCUUUAAGAAUGCCUUUUGGUCAACAAUGUUCACCAACAUAUAUCGGCCUACCUUGACGGUUGGUAGGCAUUUACAAAUCUAAGUUAGCACCAACUAUAGUUCUUGUGCCUCUACUUCCGGUCCGCCAUGAGGCCGCCUAAAGCGGUUGAAGGCCCAAACAGCCUUUGAUAUGGUUACAUUAACCUUAGGAUGUUUUCCAGAUUCAGUUCAAACCUGGUCACAUUCUCCAUCAGUUAGUACC
RNAcentral lists this long non-coding RNA (270 nucleotides) under Amborella trichopoda. RNAcentral describes it as "long non-coding RNA (ATRI_LNC002722)". The record is from RNAcentral. Lineage: Eukaryota; Viridiplantae; Streptophyta; Magnoliopsida; Amborellales; Amborellaceae.